RNAcentral lists this ribosomal RNA (253 nucleotides) under uncultured bacterium. RNAcentral describes it as "partial 16S ribosomal RNA". It matches the Rfam family "Bacterial small subunit ribosomal RNA", at positions 524 to 776 of the family's 1533-position model. The record is from RNAcentral.
GACGAGGGAUCCAAGCGUUGUUCGGAAUUAUUGGGCGUAAAGCGGGUGUAGGUGGCUAUGUAAGUCAGGUGUGAAAGCCCAGGGCUCAACCCUGGAAGUGCAUUUGAUACUGCGUAGCUUGAGUGUAGGAGAGGAUAGUAGAAUUCCUGGUGUAGUGGUGAAAUACGUAGAUAUCAGGAGGAAUACCGGAGGCGAAGGCGGCUAUCUGGCCUAACACUGACACUCAGACCCGAAAGCGUGGGGAUCAAACAGG